Non-coding RNA from Sturnus vulgaris (Common starling), 348 nucleotides. NCBI's taxonomy places the organism in Eukaryota, Metazoa, Chordata, Aves, Passeriformes, Sturnidae. The record is from RefSeq and is a predicted model, not a curated record.
GGGGGGGAGGGGUGGGCAAGGUGGCCCAAGGGUCAUUUAAGGUGGCCCAAGGGUCAUUUAAGGUGGUCCAGAGUGGCCUGGGGGUCAUUCAAAGUGGCCCAAGGGUCAUCCAAGGUGGCCCAAGGUGGCCCAAGGGUCAUCCAAGGUGGUCCAAGGUGGCCCAAAGGUCAUUCAAGGUGGUCCAGUGUGGCUUGGGGGUCGUUCAAGGUGGCCCAAGGGUCAUUUAAGGUGGUCCAAGGUGACCUGCGUGUCACCCAAGGUGGCCCAAAGGUCAUCCAAGGUGGCCCAAGGGUCACCCAGGGGGUCCAGGGUGUCCUGAGGGUCACCCUGGAUGGUCCAAGGUGGCCC